UGGCUCAGAGUGAACGCUGGCGGCAGGCCUAACACAUGCAAGUCGAACGGCAGCACAGAGGAGCUUGCUCCUUGGGUGGCGAGUGGCGGACGGGUGAGGAAUGCAUCGGAAUCUGCCUAUUUGUGGGGGAUAACGUAGGGAAACUUACGCUAAUACCGCAUACGUCCUACGGGAGAAAGUGGGGGACCUUCGGGCCUCACGCAGAUAGAUGAGCCGAUGCCGGAUUAGCUAGUUGGCGGGGUAAAGGCCCACCAAGGCGACGAUCCGUAGCUGGUCUGAGAGGAUGAUCAGCCACACUGGAACUGAGACACGGUCCAGACUCCUACGGGAGGCAGCAGUGGGGAAUAUUGGACAAUGGGCGCAAGCCUGAUCCAGCCAUGCCGCGUGUGUGAAGAAGGCCUUCGGGUUGUAAAGCACUUUUGUCCGGAAAGAAAAGCAUUCGGUUAAUAACCGGGUGUCAUGACGGUACCGGAAGAAUAAGCACCGGCUAACUUCGUGCCAGCAGCCGCGGUAAUACGAAGGGUGCAAGCGUUACUCGGAAUUACUGGGCGUAAAGCGUGCGUAGGUGGUUUGUUAAGUCUGAUGUGAAAGCCCUGGGCUCAACCUGGGAACUGCAUUGGAACUGGCUUACUAGAGUGCGGUAGAGGGGGUGUGGAAUUCCCGGUGUAGCAGUGAAAUGCGUAGAUAUCGGGAGGAACAUCUGUGGCGAAGCGACACCCUGGACCAGCACUGACACUGAGCACGAAAGCGUGGGGAGCAACAGAUAGAUACCCUGGUAGUCACGCCU
Molecule: ribosomal RNA, 787 nt
Filed under: uncultured bacterium
Lineage: Bacteria
Description: bacterial SSU rRNA
Rfam family: Bacterial small subunit ribosomal RNA
Source: RNAcentral